CAGAUGUAGUUCAAUGGCAGAACGCCAGCUUCCCAAGCUGGACACGCGGGUUCGAUUCCCGUCAUCUG
RNAcentral lists this transfer RNA (68 nucleotides) under chicken gut metagenome. It matches the Rfam family "tRNA". Rfam says of the family: Transfer RNA (tRNA) molecules are approximately 80 nucleotides in length. Their secondary structure includes four short double-helical elements and three loops (D, anti-codon, and T loops). RNAcentral also lists the same sequence under 1 other name. The record is from RNAcentral.